This 32513-nucleotide long non-coding RNA is filed under the name Triticum aestivum (bread wheat). Its description in RNAcentral is "long non-coding RNA (TAES_LNC008991)". The stretch from base 31448 to 31571 matches the Rfam family "MIR1120/MIR1122 microRNA precursor family". The record is from RNAcentral. Lineage: Eukaryota; Viridiplantae; Streptophyta; Magnoliopsida; Poales; Poaceae.
GAUGCCAUCGCUUUUAGUAAUUCAGGUGUCAAAUCACUGUAGCUAUCUGAUACUAUUGAAUGGUGAUAUGUUUUAGUUGUCUGGUGCUAUGUUACAUUCAAGUCACCAGAGCUGUUUAGGAGUCUGUGAUAUUACCUUCCUGAUAACUUUGUUUACCAGAUUGUCCAAUGUACUUAAUAUUACUGCUGUCCAUUAAAUAUUGUUGUGAACUUGUAUUGUAUAAUUUUAUAUUUGCCGUACUUUCUAUCUUGGAAUGGUAAUAGUGUAAUACACACUUCAUCUUUGCCUUGACCUGUAUGCUACUGCAAGUGUGAUCAUUUGUAGCAGUCAUGUUUCUGCCUGACGGAACAUACAAGAAAAGUAAACAAGACAGAUGAAGUGAUGCAAAUAGUAAGUGUUAAACAUAUGCAUUAAGGGAGAGCACGUCCUUUCUAAAAAAGGGUAAAUCAUCUUUGUUUGUACUUAUAUCAGAUAAAAUGUGCAAAGGCCCUAGGGUUCCCCAGGCGCCACCCUUUUGGCGUGCCUCGGCAAAAGGGACACUUUUCCCGGCGUUUCAUUAUUAAUCUUCUCAUGGAGACUUAAGUGUUGGACUGAAAAAUGGGAGCUCUGAACCUGCUACACUGCACUGGACACCAGUUUCGGUUUGCUGUACCGAACUAUAUUUCUGCAUUGUAUUUCUGGAAGUUCUGAUGCCAAGACACUGGUUGAUUUGCUGUACCGAACUACUCCCUCCAUUCCAAAAUAUAAGUCUUUCUAGAGAUUUCAAUAUGUGACUACAUACGAAGCAAAAUGAAUGAAUCUAUACUCUAACAUAUGUCUACAUACAUCCGUAUGUUGUAGACCAUUUGAAAUGUCUAAAAAGACUUAUAUUUCGGAACUGAGGGAGCAUAUUCUGCGUUCUAAUGGCAAGACCAAUGCAGUGUAUGAUGUAGCAGUUCAUACUAGGAUUAUAAGAUGCUGACAUUUGGAACUAAUUUCAACUCCAUGUGUACAUGGCCUGCUACCUCGUACAUUGCACUUCUGAAACUGUUUAGAGUGUUUUUGAUUUACCAGAUAUUAUCAGAACCAAACAUCUUAGAGCAUCUCCAGCCGUUGGCCCCCCAAGGGGGCGUAAAAUCGCCGUCUGGGGGCGAGCCGGCGCUAAAAUCGGCGUGGUGGCGAGCGGGUUCCCAGCCGCCGGCCCCAGGGUCGCCCCAAGACGCGGUUUUUUAUUAAAAAAAAGAAUUCGGCAAAGUUCGACAAAUUGAACAAAACGUUUGGCUAAAGUUCGGCAAACGCCGGCGGACGGGAAGAGAGGCAGAGCUCGGCGGCUGGUUUGGGCUCGGGCUUGUGUGGCCAGAGGCGAGGGGAGCCGCCGGUUUUAUAGCCCCGCGCCGUGUGUAUGCGUGGCGGGAGGGGAGGCGUCGCCGCGCCGCCUGUGAGGAAUCAAUGGCUGGGCAGCCUUGCCAUUGAUUCCCCGCAGGAAACCGAGGCGUUUUGAGGGAAGACGAGGCGCGCGUCGCUGACUCGGCGGGCCUGCGGCUUUUUCGCGCCAAAAUCGCUCGCCCCGAAGCCCCGGGCGCCUCCCAGCGCGCCGGGUUCGGUCUGGGUCCGCUGGCGCCAGUUUCGGCCCAAACCGGCGAAAAAGGGCUCCUGGGGGCGCGUCUCGGCCGAUUUUUGGGCGCCGAUGCAGAAAAAAUCGCCUGGGGAGGGCCUGUUGGGGGCACGGCUAGAGAUGCUCUUAGGCAUCUGUGAUGCUCAGUAAUAUUGACUAGUAGAACGCCCGUGCGUUGCAACGGACUGCAUUGGCGACUUCCUUUUUACUGUUAAAGCACUCUGCUUUUCUUCCUUUCAAACCUCUCCCAACUAAAUAUGUUUUUUGAAGUGAUAUUUGAAUGGAUAAAUUAACAACCAUACUAAAAUAUCAAGAUAUAAAAAUAUAUGUAUCGAAUAACAUUGCUACUACACAUUCGACAUGAAAGUUAUGGCAUCCGAAAGAUUGGAAACAAACACAAUGGUGACUUACCACCAAAUCUCAUUUAUAUUUUGGAACGUGGUUGUCCUACUAAUGUGUACCUGCAAGAUCUCUCUCCCCUUCCUCCCUCUCCCUCCCUCGAGCUCUUCCCCCUCUCCCACUUUUCUCACUCACCCUCUAUUGAUCUCGAGUGUGUUGCCUUCUCAAGAAGGCUCCAAUGCUCUAGUGGCCGUCUCAUGAGAUGGUCGUCAUUGCUGCUACUGGUGGAGGUGGCGGUGAUGAAGAGGAAUACCACAAGAGGUUGUUGAUGUUCUUGAUCUCUUCCCUAUGGUUAGUGUUGCCUCUGCAUGGGGUGUCGUUCAUCAAUACCACAACUGUGUCAACUACAACCAAAAAAUAUAUAAUAAAAAGCUAGAAACUUUGUGUGUGGCUUGAAUUUGGAAUUCUAGCCUUAUAGGAGGAAAACUUAUACGAAAUAUGCUACAAAAAUAUCAUCUUAUGUUUAAAACCAUAGCUAAAAGUUAACUCGAUUUAUAGUAAGGUGCUCUUGCAACGGGAUUCGUUCAGACUUUGCGGUGGAAGAACAAACAUAUGGAGCUGCAAAGCAGAUAAAAAUAUCAACUGUAAACCUCUCUUGAAAACUCGUUGUCAUAGUUCUCAAAGUAGUGGAGCAGAACUUGUCAGUACCAAGGGCGGGUGUUCUCAGUGUAGUAGCCGAGGGAAGACCUUUAUAUAUCAGGGAGGAACUACCACUGAUAAACUUCUUACCACCCAAAGAAUAGGUUGUGAUAGUCGUGAGACAACCAUCUAUAUGAAAUAACAACCAUCAUUAUUAGCUCAUACGGAGUAGAAUUCUACCGGCUACAAAGAACCCAAGAAUUGGACCACAACAUCUGUCACAACUAGCCGCCGCCGCCCCCGUUUUCCCCACCUCCACCCCCGUUUUCCCCACCUCCACCCCAGCUCCCCUCGCCGCCGCCAGGUGAAUCCGACAGGCAAAGCCCGCUCGGCGUUCGGCGGCGGCGGGGACUUCUCCUCGCGAGACGCGUAGCGGCGGCCCUGGACGACGCGAGGCGACUGUCGGCGGUGGCGGCGUCUCGCCGGCGCAGGCAAGCCGGGGCGGCGGCCCCGGGCAUGGUGGCGGUGCCGCUCUCUCCUCUCCUCCCCCCCCCUGUGGGUCGUGAGGGGCGGUGCUGGGCCAGCGGCCGCGGAUCUGGCGCUAGGAGGCUGGAUCCGUCGGUGGGGCUGCCCAGGCGUGUGGCUCCGGCGGCUGCACGUCCGGCUGGUUGAGCUGCGGUGGUGGCGGCGUGCUGCAGCUCCUGGAUGGAGGCGCGGCGGCGCCGCGUAGGUGGAUGUGCUGCGGCGGUCGUGGGGAGCGGUCCCUGGCCUCCGGGGCGGUGUGUGCUCUGCCAGCUCCGGCCGUGCGAGCAGUGGAGAGGUGGUCAUGGCUGUUGGCGGCGGCUCCGGGUUGGUGUCGUGUGGCAUGGCCGCUGGUGCUUCCGGUGAGGGUGGUGGCUCCCUGGAUGUGUCAAGGGCUACGGCGCGGUGGGCUGUCCUCGCGGCAGUACGGUGAUGGUGGUUGUCGUGGGUCUCUGGACGAAAGUUUCUGCCCGACUCGAUCGGUGCCGGCGACGGCGGCGCUCUGUUGCGCCGUUUCCAUCUUGAUGGCGUCCUCGAGGAGCCCCGACCCGCCUCCAACCAAAGGAACCUCGUCUUCCAGGUGAAAACCCAGAUUUAGUUUGCUGGAUCGGAUGGCGGCGGCGUCUUCUUGGACGUCGUUUAUCUUUCUUGGAGGCGCCAUCUUUGGAGACGAGGUUCGGUUGGCGCUUGUGGCUUUUGUGCUUCUGGUGGUAUGCCGAGACGGUGGAUGCCGGAGCGGCGGCUCCGGACGAUGGAUGUAUGCCGAGGCGGCGGCCUCGGACGGUCAUGCAACGGCGGUUCUAUGGGGUAGGUCCGCUGCUUUGCUUGACAUGGGCGGCGACCUGGUGUUGCGAGGGUGGCCAGUUCGUCGGCUCGGUCGACGCGAUCUGUGGGGUCGGUCUGGCUGGAAGUCGGGGCGGCGGCCCCGGAUGUUUGGUACAACGUUCGUGGUCUGCGGGCGGUCGUCUCGUGUAGUAAGGGCUACGAGGCGCCUGAACCGCGCGGCGUUGUGGCUCGCGUGCGGGCGGGGGAUGUCGGAGCGGCGGCUCCGGAGUCGGGUGUGUGUGUUUGUUGCAAUGUUGCCUUGGGUCGUGUGGUCGGUAAGGGUUCGUUGCGUGUGCGGUUUUUCGGUCUGGUUUUCCUCAUAAACUGGGCCACUCUGUUAGGUUUUCGAUCCAGUUUCCCUCAUAAACUGGAUCAACUCUCUUCUUCUAUAAUGCAAAGCCAGAGCACCUGGCCCUCUGACGAGGUUCCGUAAAAAAAAAACAUUUGUCACAACUUGGUCCGGGAGAAGAUGCCAUUGUCCAUAUAUUCACUGGAUUUCUUGCCUAUAUCUGUGCCAGAAGAUACUUCAGCCCGUAGAAAAUCCCAGUUGAUAUGUGAACUAAACCAUGCUAAAAUAAAUUAAAAAACAAAUUUAGAACAUAGCAGGUCGUUGAUCAAAAUAAACAUGUUUACUGCCAAAACCAGAGCCUAAUUUCGAGCUACCGCGAGAGCUCCCCUGGCGGCAAGCUUGUGGCAGCGCGGGAGCAUCCAGGGAGGAAGUACAGAGUAUUCUUGAGGCAUUGUGUGAUUGAAACAGGCUUGUACGUAUACUUUCAGAUCUCUGGUGCCAUCUGCUCUUGCAUAACCACAAAAGAGUACCUGAAAGUUGAGUCAACUGAAAUACAACUAAUGCAUAAUUACACAUUUUGAUCAUUGUUCUUUUGAGGCCGAUGAACUAUAUGUAAAAUCAUGAAGUAAGCUACAGCAAGUAAUCAAAUUUAUCCACCAAGCCCACUAACCAGCAACAACAAGCUAUCAAGAUUUCUUUUACUCAUACAAGUGUGACUAACUCUGUAAUGUUUGCCUUCAGAAGCUAAAAAGGGAUAGAACAAUCAACAGACCUUAAUGUAUUGAAAAUGUUCCCAUGUGGUUGUUAUGAAAUUUGGAGUGAACAAAAAUUAGUAUCCAAUUGCUCAGCUAGACAGAAAUGAAGGAAGCUAUCUUGUACAAAUAUAUGAAAACAACACCACUUUAAAUGAAAACACAAGUUCAUACUUUCAAUUUCCCGACAAUUGUUCCAGUGGCUAUUUUGCCUAAGUUGAUGGCUUCCUAUACAUAAUGGACGUAGGCAAAUAUGUAGAACUUAUGAAACUUGCAGUUAAAGCUUGAUGAAGCCGGUCGGCGCAAUUGGGGGGGUAGCGGCGAGCAGCUCAGUGAACGCCACAGUGGCCGUUGUCCGGCGGAGCAUCGCGGACUUCAUUUGCAUUUGUAUUAGAGGAGCGCUUCGGUACACCCCCCUCACAAAACAUAUAAAGGGUAGUACGAACAUUUCACAAAUUGUACUCAUUAGAAUGUAUACGGCGUAGGUUUGUACAAUUCCCGGCCACACUCGUCCCUCAUGGGCUCAGCCCGUUUAGUUUCAUUUUUAGUCUUAAACUUCAAAAAACUGGGGGUCCGACAUGGGAUUCGUUCCCAAGUCCUCAGGAACAAUGGGAAAGUGCACAACCAUCUGAGAUAGCUAACCUUGCGUGCCAAUUGACCUUCUUUUCCUCUUUUUGAAUGAGAUAAAUAACGCUAAGAAAAAAACUCUUUGCUUUUCUUUCGUUUUUAUUUUCCCUUUUUUUCGUAAAAUAGAAAUUAAAACUUAUACAUAAACUUUUUAAAAAAUCAGAAAAAUACAAACACAAUUUGAAUUUUGAAAAUUUUGAAUUUGAGAAAUAGAAACAAUAAACAAAAAACAAAAAGUCAAAGAAGAUGAAAAAGGAAAAAAGAAACAGAAAAAAUAAAAUAGGACAGGAAAUAAAAAUAAAAAAUAAAACAGGAUAGGAAAUAUAAGAUCAUAGAAAAAAUGGGGUCAUUUGAUGGAUGCCAAAAAUACAAGCUCUCAAACGAACCCUUCUCACCUACCCGAACACCCUCUGUUGAAUGUGAUCUAUUUCUGGCAUGCAUGAAAUGUCCUCAACUUUUUUUAGUAGCAGGCAUGUCCAUGGUAGGCAUCCAUGCGAGGUUUGAAUGAAUUUUCAACACAAUAUGCAAGUUGUGUCACGUCCGGCCAUUUAUCGGCCAAUUUUCAUCGAGAAAACUCCAAAAAAAUGUAACAAUUGUCGAAAACUCAAACAAAUUGGCAAGGUGCCUUGAUUUGAUCAUAGAAGUCGGUGGAAAAAAAAUUGAGACUAUUUUAAUUAUGUCAAGAAACAACAUACCCUCAGGUGGAGCCUUCUGGCCAUCUCGAACACCCUCCAUUGAACAUGGUCUAGUUUUAGACAUUCUUGAACUAGCCCCAACUUUUUCAAGCAGGUGGGCAUGACCAUGGUAGUUAUCCUUACCAGGUUUGAAAUUUUUCUGACACCGUAUGCAAGUUCUGACACGCCUGUCCAUUUAUCGGUCUUUCUUUUACCAAGAAAACUCUGAAAAAUAAAAAGAUUGUCGAAAACCAAAACAACUUGGCAUGUUCCCUUGAAUUGCUCAUACAGGGUCAUGAAUAAUUUGGGGUCAUUUCAAGGAUGUCGAAAAACAACAUACUCUCACACGAAGCCUUCUCGCCUACCUGAACACCCUCCGUCAUGGUAUAUGUUUGGACAUCCUUCAAAUCACUCCAACUUUUGCAAACAGGUUGGCAUGUUCAUGGUAGACAUCCAUGUUAAGUCUGAAUGAUUUCUGACAUAUUAUGCAAGUUGCUACACGUUCGGCUAUUUAUCGGUCUUUUUUGGCCGAGAAAACUCCAUAAAAUGCAGAAAGAUUUGAAAACCAAAACAGCUUGUCAUUGUGCCUUGAAUUGGACGUACGAGGCCCUGAGAACCGGCCCGGUCGGGCGGCCUCCUAUGAAUAAAGUAUUUAAUUUGUGAACAUGUUUUCAAAUUCGUGAACUUGUUUUCAAAUCGAUGAACUUUUUCAAUUUUGCGAACUUUUUUUGUCAAAUUCGUGAACUUUUUUUCAAAUCGAUGAACAUUUUUCAAUUCCGCGAAUGUUUUUCCUCCUUGGAGAUUGGGGUGUUCGUGUGUUCCAGGGCGGUCCAUCAAAAUCGAGGUCCCUGUGUCAAAAUCUAAGAUGGCCCUAUCUUGUUACAGAAAACGUCCUACUAGAUCAAUUUGUCGUCUAUGGCAGGCAGGUUGCAUGCAUAAAAAGUAUUUUAGGUGUUCUUUUUAGUUGCAUUCAUAUAUAUAGCGUUUUGGCAUUUUAGAAAAUAUCUCCACAAGCAGAAAGCCUACAGUUGAUAAUCGUCUUGAGAAGUGUGAAUAAAACACAUAAAUUUUUCUUGGAUGGUCCAGAUUGAUGUGCCGAUGUACUGGUUUUGCGCACCGGCGUAGUAUGUUCUUAUAAAUCUUGUGCUAAUUUUAUCACCAAAGGGCAGCGUAGUGGACUGGUAAUUUGUGAAGUUUGGGAGACGUGGUCAGGAGCUCGAUUCCUCAUGCGACCCGACCUAGCUCUUUUCUGAAGAUUUUUACGUCUUGCUUUAAAUAGCAAGUGACCUAGCGCCUGCUGGGCUGGCCCAGAUGUGCAUCCUAGCGACAUGCUUGUUCGUACGCUCGCCCGCUUAUUGGAGGUUUGGUUGUGGACAACGUACUUUUAAAAAUACCAUCAUGUCCUUUAUUAUGAAGGGUUAUAGGAUAAUUAUAGCCGUUGAUGUGUUUAGGGGAGGUGUACCGAAGCGGAAACGUUUGUAUUAUAAUUGUGAGUAUGGUGUUUUAGCUGGGAGCUUUGACAGGUGUUCCUCAGCUUUGGUCAGCCAUCCCAUGUCAUUUAGCGAGGUUUGGUUGUGGACAACGUACUUUCAAAAAUACCAUCAUGUCCUUUAUUAUGAAGGGUUAUAGGAUAAUUAUAGCCGUUGAUGUGUUUAGGGGAGGUGUACCGAAGCGGAAACGUUUGUAUUAUAAUUGUGAGUAUGGUGUUUUAGCUGGGAGCUUUGACAGGUGUUCCUCAGCUUUGGUCAGCCAUCCCAUGUCAUUUAGCAUCAUCACGUGCUGAACACAGAUGCAAAGCUUUCCAAAUUAACAAAUAAACAUAUAGAUGAAACACAAGUUUAUUGCAAGAUUUCCUCGACGGUAGCACAACUCACAUGCCCCCUGUGUCGGUGCUGACAGAGGAAAUCAAGCAGGGGCUCAAGGCAAUCAUGUUGCGGAACAAAAAUCAAACACAAGCUCCUGUAGAGAAAAUGCACGCCAUUUCCAAUUGACGACGGCAUGGUAUUAAGGCACUGAAUGGCUCAAAGUCAAACUCCAGUACGUAGGGGUCGUUGUGCCUGCCAGAUCAUGAGGUUAAGAUUAUAGUGAUAAAAAUUGAAACAAUUCCACUUGUGACAAUUUAGCUGAGCUGAUUUUAAUUUUAGUAUCAAGCAGAGAUCCGUACGUAUUGAUAAUGAAAGCUACUAAGUUGUCAAUGCCUUAACACGACCGUAGUCGUACACAUAUAGCUAGGCAAAGGAUGUACAAUUCAAACUACGUUUCCUGAUGGCAGCCUCUCAAAGCCCAGCAUUAAGCGUUCAAUUUGAUUUUACCUCCCCCAACUCCCCUCUCAUUAAAAAUUUGACAAUAGCACAAGCAAAAGGAACAAACGUCGGAGUAGAGAUUGCAGGAAGGAACAGGGAGCGCAACACAUACUGGCCGUCGACGAGCUCCUCCUUGAAGCGGAGAUACUCUGUCUCCUUCACGCUGAGUUGUCAUCUCCAGCCCUUGGCCCCCGAGGGGCGCCUAAAAUCGCCGUUUGAGUGUAAGCCGGCGCAAAAAUUUCGGUCUGAGGCGAGUUGGUCCCCAGCCGCCGGCCCCAGGGCCGGCCCCAGGCGCGUUCAAAAAGAAAUAUAUAUAGCAAAUUUCGACAAAGUUCGGCUAAACACCACUAAAUUUUGGCAAACUUUGACAUAUAUUAGACAUGUUCGCGGAUUUUCAUUACAUAGCAACUAUAUAACUAAUCUAAAAAAGAAACUGGCUGAACGCCGAGUAGUCGCCGUCGUCGCCGCCAUCCUCACCGCCAUCGUCAUCGUCGGCCUUCUCCUCCUUGACGCGGGCGUACCUACUGGACCCCUGCCCGGCGUCGCCAUGGCGGACUGGUGGCGGCGGCGGCGCGUCGUUGUCGUCGCUGUCGUCGAUGACGACGACUCCUCCUUCGUCGCGGCCCCGGCGGCGCUGCGCGAAGCGCCGCAGGGCAGCGCACUGGCGCUCCCUCGCCAUCUUCAGGGAGUCCUGGCGUGCCCAUUCCAGGGCCGCGUCGUCGUCGAGUUCCACGUCGCGGUGCUCCGUCUUCACGGCGGGGAGACCCGGCUCCGUCUUCACCGGGGCGAGCCCCGGCUCCGUCUUUGGCUUGACGAAGCGCGGAGGAGGAGCCGACGAGGAGGCGCGCCGGCCGCCCUCAUUGAUGACGAUGCCGGCGCUGCGAGUGCGCCGGCCGAGCGGCGUCUCCGCCGCAGACUCGGCCUUGACGCCGAGCAGCGCCUGAGAGCCGGAGGAGUGGGAGAAAGAGCGCGAGGAGGAAGAAGAGGAGGAACCGAACCUCCUUGGCAUCCAUUGCCCGUCGCGUCGGCGGUGCGCCGGGGCGGCCGCCCUCGCCGGGGGGUAUGCCAACGGCGGGUUGUUGGCGCCCUCGAGGUGCGUCAGCACGCCCUCGAGCGUGCGGCCGGGGACGCCCCACCAUAGGUGGCGCCCCUCGCUGUUCUUCAGGCCGCCCACCACCGCCGCGCCGUUUGUGGACGCCAGCCUCUGCUGCUGACGGCGCUCGAAGUACGCCGCCCAAGCCGCGUGGUUGUCGGCGGCGUACUGGGGGAGGGCGAGCUGGGCGUCGGUGAGGGAGGCGCGCACGAUCUCUACCUCAUCGGCGAAGUAGGAGGAGCGCGCCACAGCGUCGGGCAACGGGGGAAUGGGCACUCCCCCGUUACUGAGCCUCCACCCCGUCGGUCCGGCGCGCAUGUCCGGCGGCGCCGGGAUGUUCGCCUGGAACAGGAGCCACGACUCCUGCUCGCGGAGCAUGCGGUGGCCGAAGCCGUUGGCCGCCGCCUCGUCUCCGGGGAAACGCUCGGUCAUCGGGAAAGGGGGGAGAGGGAGGGCUCGGCCGCGGCUCACGGGAGAGGGAGAGGGGGGGCUCAGCGGCGGCGCUCAGGAGAGGCAGAGCUCCGCGGCUAGGGCAGGGCUGGUGUGGCCAGAGGCGAGCGAGGCCACCGGCUUAUAUAGCCGCGCCGCGCCCGUGUGUACGCGUGCGAGGGAGGGGAGGCGUCUGCGCCGCCCGUGAGGAAUCAACGGCAAGGCUGACCGGCGGCAGCCUUGCCAUUGAUUCCCCGACGGAAACCGAGGCGUUGAGGGAAGACAAGGCGCGGUGUCGCUGACGCGGCUGGCCCGCGGCUCUUUCGCGCCAAAACCGCUCGCCCCGGCUCCCCCGGGCGCCCCCAGCGCGCCGGGUUCGGCCUGGGUCCGCCGAUUUUGGCCCAAGCCGGCGAAAAUCGGGCUCCUGGAGACGCGACUCGACUGGACCGUUUUUUCGACGCCAGCACAAAAAAAUCGUCUGAGAAGGCCUUUCUGGGACGCGGCUGAAGAUGCUCUUAGACGUUGAGGCCAUGCACGUUGACCGGAAGUACUCCGGGUCGAGGCCGCACCAAAAUCGACUCCUGCUCGAAAAUACACGCACAUUUUUUUUUCAUAAAGAAAAUAAAAAAUACACGCACAUGGACAUGAUAAGACAUGAUAAGACAAUAAUUAUUCAGGGAUAACGCGCGCGCACGAAAUAGCGAGUGUUGCGAUUUGACGGCGCACCUGGGAGGACGUUGACCAUAGGGCACUUGAAUGUAUAGUACUGUGGCCACCGCAUCAAUGGAACCUGAGCCAAGCCUCCAUCUCUCUCAAUCCUUGCGCCUCGCCGCCGCGCCAUCCCGGCUAGCCUCCGCCAAUUGGUUCAAGGCCAAUUUCACCGCGCGAUCUCAAACGGAUGUCUGUUUUGUGUGGAUUUUAUCCAUUUGGGUAGGGAUUUAGGGUCGUGUCCGGGCGUGUCCUGAGAUGCGGUGGCCGUGCGUUCAGCGCGCGGCCGCAUCCGUUUGCCCCAUCCUGUCCGCGUCUAUUUAAAAAAAAGCAACGUUUCAAAUGCCAAGCCCUAGUUCACGGCCCCAGUUCAUCACGCCGGCAACAAAGCCAGCGGCCUACACGUCCAUCGCCGGCAUCGGCCAGCGGCCGGCAACACAGCCAGCCUCCAAAAUGAAUAGGUGUCCUCGCCGGCAACACAGACGGCCUCCAAAAUGAAUGUUUUCUCGCCGGCACACUGCCAGCGGCCCAGCGGGCGGGCGGCACCCAUGCCAGCCUCCAAAAAGAAUGGCCACGUCGAUCGGACGACCUAGUUCAGGCCUUCGGCGUCGAGCAUCUCCUUCUGCCUGGCCUCGAACCAGGCCCUCGUCUUGUCGCUCAUCUUCGACAAGUCCACGCUCAUGAUUGCAAGGGCCACCUCCUUCGCUUUGGUGGCGGCAUUGGUGGCCUCGAUGUCGAGCUGCCUCUGCCUGGCCUUGAUGUUGUCGGCCUCGAUGUCGAGCUGCCUUUGCCGGGCGGCCUCUUCCAUGUCGAGCUGCCUUUGCCCGGCCGCCUCCUCCAUGUCGAUCUUCCUCUUCUUGGCCGCCUCCUCCAUCUCAAGCUUCUUUCUUUGAAGGUCUAGGUAUUGCUUCAUUUGCUCGUCCUUGCUUUGCCGCUUCUUCUCGUCCCUCACAUCCUUUUGAGACAUCAUGCCAUGCAAAGUGUCAUGCAAUGCCAUGGAUGAGGCAUCACGUAUGUCAUCAACCUUGGAGUUGGUCUUGCCCCUCGGCCUCUUCAACGCCUCGCCAUCUCCACCUCCGUCGAACUUGGCCGUCUUCAGUCCUCUCUUCCUUUGUAGUUCACGGUAUUGGUCCUUGAACUUAGGGUAAUUGUUGAUGAGCGUCCAACAAUGCGUAAGCGUGAAUGGCUUGUCAUUGUGCCGGGCCUUGAAUGCCUCCAAAGAUUGAAAUGCCUACAACACAUGAUCAACAAGAAGUGAACAUGCAAACAUAUACAAGGCCGAAGUCUCAUGGCCGUAGCAAGGAAAGGGCUAGGAAGAGGGGAGCAUACCGUGUCCCCAACGCCGAGACCACUCACGGGCCAUGCUUCAACGCUCUCAAAUGCGGCUUGCUCGUUGCACUCUUGUUGGAUGAACAACCAUCUCUUUUGAAUCGAGCCGAUGCCACGGUUGCUUGAAAUUUGGUAGGGCUCGAACAUCUUCCUUUCAUGGAAUGUUUUGUGGACUCUCGUCCAAAAAACAAUGCCCUUUUGUUGCGCGCCGGUCCUCGGAUCUUGGCUAAUCUCCAUCCAAGCUUGGCAAAUCAACUUGUCCUCAUCUUGUGUGUAUGAACCCGUGCGAAUGCUCUUCCUCUUUUUUGUGCUUCCGCUCUUUGGGUCAGCUCGUCGAUGAACAAUGGCGCGCCACUAAUAUCAACGUCAUUGCCUUCUUCUUCUUCUUCUUCUUCAUCACCAUCACCUUCGACAUAGAUGUCAUCAUCUUCAUGUCAUGAGUCACCAUGGUCGUAGUCUGCACGGUCGUCGGCCUCUUCAUCGGGGACGUACUUGUUGGAAAUAUGCCCUAGAGGCAAUAAUAAAAUGGUUAUUAUUAUAUUUCUUUGUUCAUGAUAAUUGUCUAUUGUUCAUGCUAUAAUUGUGUUAUCCGGAAAUCGUAAUACAUGUGUGAAUACAUAGACCACAACGUGUCCCUAGUAAGCCUCUAGUUGACUAGCUCGUUGAUCAACAGAUAGUCAUGGUUUCCUGACUAUGGACAUUGGAUGUCAUUGAUAACGGGAUCACAUCAUUAGGAGAAUGAUGUGAUGGACAAGACCCAAUCCUAAGCAUAGCUCAAAGAUCGUGUAGUUCGUUUGCUAGAGCUUUUCCAAUGUCAAGUAUCUUUUCCUUAUACCAUGAGAUCGUGCAACUCCCGGAUGCCAUAGGAGUGCUUUGGGUGUGCCAAACGUCACAACGUAACUGGGUGACUAUAAAGGUGCAUUACGGGUAUCUCCGAAAGUGUCUGUUUGGUUGGCACGGAUCGAGACUGGGAUUUGUCACUCCGUAUGACGGAGAGGUAUUUCUGGGCCCACUCGGUAAUGCAUCAUCAUAAUGAGCUCAAUGUGACUAAGGAGUUAGCCACGUGAUCAUGCAUUACGGUACGAGUAAAGAGACUUGCCGGUAACGAGAUUGAACAAGGUAUUGGGAUACCGACGAUCGAAUCUCGGACAAGUAACAUACCGAUUGACAAAGGAAAUUGUAUACGGGAUUGAUUGAAUCCUCGACAUCGUGGUUCAUCCGAUGAGAUCAUCGUGGAACAUGUGGGAGCCAACAUGGGUAUCCAGAUCCCGCUGUUGGCUAUUGACCGGAGAGGCGUCUCGGUCAUGUCUGCAUGUAUCCCGAACCCGUAGGGUCUACACACUUAAGGUUCGGUGACGCUAGGGUUGUAGAGAUAUUAGUAUGCGGAAACCCGAAAGUUGUUCGGAGUCCCGGAUGAGAUCCCGGACGUCACGAGGAGUUCCGGAAUGGUCCGGAGGUGAAGAAUUAUAUAUAGGAAGUCAAGUUUCGGCCACGGGAAAGUUUCGGGGGUCACCGGUAUUGUAUCGGGACCACCGGAAGGGUCCCGGGGGUCCACCUAUCCCGGAGGGCCCCAUGGGCUGAAGUGGGAAGGGAACCAGCCCCUAGUGGGCUGGGGCGCCCCCAUGGGCCUCCCCUUGCGCCUAGGGUUGGAAACCCUGGGGGUGGGGGGCGCCCCACCUGACUUGGGGGGCAAGUUUCCCCCCUGGCCGCCGCCCCCCCUUGUAGAUGGGUUCCAGGGCCGGCGCCCCCCCUCCAAGGGGCCUAUAUAUAGUGGGGGGAGGGAGGGCAGCAGCACCACAGCCCCUGGCGCCUCCCUCUCCCCCUGCAACACCUCUCCCUCCCGCUUGCGCUUGGCGAAGCCCUGCCGGGAUCCCGCUACUUCCACCACCACGCCGUCGUGCUGCUGAAUCUCCAUCAACCUCUCCUUCCCCCUUGCUGGAUCAAGAAGGAGGAGACGUCGCUGCUCCGUACGUGUGUUGAACGCGGAGGUGCCGUCCGUUCGGCACUCAAUCAUCGGUGAUUUGGAUCACGGCGAGUACGACUCCAUCAACCCCGUUCACUUGAACGCUUCCGCUUGAGAUCUACAAGGGUAUGUAGAUGAACUCCUUUCCCCUCGUUGCUAGUAUACUCCAUAGAUGGAUCUUGGUGAUGCGUAGGAAAUUUUAAAAUUCUGCUACGAUCCCCAACAGUACUGGGCGAAGCCCUGCCGGGAUCCCGCUACUUCCACCACCACGCCGUCGUGCUGCUGGUGAAGGAAAUAUGCCCUAGAGGCAAUAAUAAGUAUUAUUUAUUUCCUUAUAUCAUGAUAAAUGUUUAUUAUUCAUGCUAGAAUUGUAUUAACCGGAAACAUAAUACAUGUGUGAAUACAUAGACAAACAGUGUGUCACUAGUAUGCCUCUACUUGACUAGCUCGUUAAUCAAAGAUGGUUAUGUUUCCUAGCCAUAGACAUGAGUUGUCAUUUGAUUAACGGGAUCACCUCAUUAGGAGAAUGACGUGAUUGACCUGACCCAUUCCGUUAGCUUAGCACCCGAUCGUUUAGUAUGUUGCUAUUAAUUUCUUCAUGACUUGUACAUGUUCCUAUCACUAUGAGAUUAUGCAACUCCCGUUUACCGGAGGAACACUUUGUGUGCUACCAAACGUCACAACGUAAAUGGGUGAUUAUAAAGGUGCUCUACAGGUGUCUCCAAAGGUACUUGUUGGGUUGGCGUAUUUCGAGAUUAGGAUUUGUCACUCUGAUUGUCGGAGAGGUAUCUCUAGGCCCACUCGGUAAUGCACAUCACUAUAAGCCUUGCAAGCAUUGUGACUAAUGAGUUAGUUACGGGAUGAUGUAUUACGGAACGAGUAAAGAGACUUGCCAGUAAUGAGAUUGAACUAGGUAUCGAGAUACCGACGAUCGAAUCUCGGGCAAGUAACAUACCGAUGACAAAGGGAACAACGUAUGUUGUUAUGCGGUUUGACCGAUAAAGAUCUUCGUAGAUUAUGUGGGAGCCAAUAUGAGCAUCCAGGUUCCGCUAUUGGUUAUUGACCGGAGAGGUGUCUCGGUCAUGUCUACAUAGUUCUCGAACCCGUAGGGUCCGCACGCUUAACGUUACGAUGGCAGUUAUAUUAUGAGUUUAUAUGUUUUGAUGUACCGAAGGUUGUUCGGAGUCCCGGAUGUGAUCACGGACAUGACGAGGAGUCUCGAAAUGGUCGAGACAUAAAGAUUGAUAUAUUGGACGACUAUAUUCGGACACCGGAAGUGUUCCGGAGAAGUUUCGGAUAAAACCGAAGUGCCGGAGGGGUUACCGGAACCCCCCGGGGAAGUAUUGGGCCUUAGUGGGCCUUGAGGGGAGAGAGAGGGAAGCAGCCAGGAGGUGGCGCGCCCCCUCCCAUGAGGAGUCCUAUUAGGACUAGGAGAGGGGGGCGCAGCCCCUCUUUCCCUCUCCCUCUCCCUCUCUUUCCUUCCCCCCCCCCUUCUCUUCCUAGUUGGACUAGGAAAGGGGAGUCCUACUCCUACUAGGAGGAGGACUCCCCCCCUCUCCUUGGCGCGCCUAGGGCAGUCGGCCUCCCCCUUGCUCCUUUAUAUACGGGGGCAGGGGGCACCUCUAUACACACUUGAUAUACGAUAUUUUAGCCGUGUGCGGUGCCCCCCUCCACCAUAUUACACCUCGAUAAAACCGUUGCGGAGCUUAGGCGAAGCCCUGCAUCAGUGGAACAUCAUCAUCGUCACCACGCCAUCGUGCUGACGAAACUCUCCCUCAACACUCGGCUGGAUUGGAGUUCGAGGGACGUCAUCGAGCUGAACGUGUGCUGAACUCGGAGGUACCGUACGUUCGGUACUUGAUCGGUCGGAUCAUGAAGACGUACGACUACAUCAACCGCGUUGUGUUAACGCUUCCGCUGUCGGUCUACGAGGGUACGUGGACAACACUCUCCCCUCUCGUUGCUAUGCAUCACCAUGAUCUUGCGUGUGCGUAGGAAUUUUUUUGAAAUUACUACGUUCCCCAAUAGUGGUAUCAGAGCCAGGUUUUAUGCGUUGAUGCUAUGCACGAGUAGAACACAAGUGAGUUGUGGGCGAUAUAAGUCAUACUGCUUACCAGCAUGUCAUACUUUGGUUCAGCGGUAUUGUGAGAUGAAGCGGCCCGGACAGACAUUACGCGUACGCUUACGUGAGACUGGUUUCACCGUUGCGAGCACUCGUUGCUUAAAGGUGACCGGCGGGUGUCUGUCUCUCUCACUUUAGUUGAACCGAGUGUGGCUACGCCCGAUCCUUGCGAAGGUUAAAACAGCACCAACUUGACAAACUAUCGUUGUGGUUUUGAUGCGUAGGUAAGAACGGUUCUUGCUAAGCCCGUAGCAGCCACGUAAAACUUGCAACAACAAAGUAGAGGACGUCUAACUUGUUUUUGCAGGGCAUGUUGUGAUGUGAUAUGGUCAAGACAUGAUGUGAUAUAAUUUGUUGUAUGAGAUGAUCAUUUUUUGUAACCGAGUUAUCGACAACUGGCAGGAGCCAUAUGGUUGUCGCUUUAUUGUAUGAAUUGCAAUCGCCAUGUAAUAGUUUUACUUUAUCACUAAGCGGUAGCGAUAGUCGUAAAAGCAAUAAGUUGGCGAGACGACAACGAUACUACGAUGGAGAUCAAGGUGUCGCGCCGGUGACGAUGGUGAUCAUGACGGUGCUUCGGAGAUGGAGAUCACGAGCACGGUGCUUCGAAGAUGGAGAUCACAAGCACAAGAUGAUGAUGGCCAUAUCAUAUCACUUAUAUUGAUUGCAUGUGAUGUUAAUCCUUUAUGCAUCUUAUCUUGCUUUGAUUGACGGUAGCAUUAUAAGAUGAUCUCUCACUAAAAUUUCAAGAUAAAAGUGUUCUCUCUGAGUAUGCACCGUUGCGAAAGUUCUUCGUGCUGAGACACCACGUGAUGAUCGGGUGUGAUAGGCUCUACGUUCAAAUACAACGGGUGCAAAACAGUUGCACACGCGGAAUACUCAGGUUAAACUUGACGAGCCUAGCAUAUGCAGAUAUGGCCUCGGAACACGGAGACCGAAAGGUCGAGCGUGAAUCAUAUAGUAGAUAUGAUCAACAUAGUGAUGUUCACCAUUGAAACUACUCCAUCUCAUGUGAUGAUCGGACAUGGUUUAGUUGAUUUGGAUCACGUAAUCACUUAGAUGAUUAGAGGGAUAUCUAUCUAAGUGGGAGUUCUUAAGUAAUAUGAUUAAUUGAGCUUAAAUUUAUCAUGAACUUAGUACCUGAUAGUAUCUUGCUUGUCUAUGUUAAUUGUAGAUAAAUGGCCCGUGCUGUUGUUCCGUUGAAUUUUAAUGCGUUCCUUGAGAAAGCUAAGUUGAAAGAUGAUGGUAGCAAUUACACGGACUGGGUCCGUAACUUGAGGAUUAUCCUCAUUGCUGCACAGAAGAAUUACAUCCUAGAAGCACCGCUAGGUGCCAGGCCUCCUGCAAGAGCAACACCAGAAGUUAUGAACGUCUGGCAGAGCAAAGCUGAUGACUACUCGAUAGUUCAGUGUGCCAUGCUUUACGGCUUAGAACCGGGUCUUCAACGACGUUUUGAACGUCAUGGAGCAUAUGAGAUGUUCCAGGAGUUGAAUUUAAUAUUUCAAGCAAAUGCCCGGAUUGAGAGAUAUGAAGUCUCCAAUAAGUUCUACAGCUGCAAGAUGGAAGAGAAUAGUUCUGUGAGUGAGCAUAUACUCAAAAUGUCUGGGUAUAAUAAUCACUUGAUUCAACUGGGAGUUAAUCUUCUGGAUGAUAGCGUCAUUGACAGAAUUCUUCAAUCACUGCCACCAAGCUACAAGAGCUUCGUGAUGAACUAUAACAUGCAAGGGAUGAAUAAGACAAUUCCCGAGCUCUUCGCAAUGCUGAAGGCAGCGGAGGUAGAAAUCAAAAAGGAGCAUCAAGUGUUGAUGGUCAGUAAAACCACUAGUUUCAAGAAAAAGGGCAAAGGGAAGAAGAAGGGGAACUUCAAGAAGAACAGCAAGCAAGUUGCUGUCCAGGAGAAGAAACCCAAGUCUGGACCUAAGCUUGAAACUGAGUGCUUCUACUGCAAGCAGACUGGUCACUGGAAGCGGAACUGCCCCAAGUAUUUGGCGGAUAAGAAGGAUGGCAAGGUUAACAAAGGUAUAUGUGAUAUACAUGUUAUUGAUGUGUACCUUACUAAUGCUCGCAGUAGCACCUGGGUAUUUGAUACUGGUUCUGUUGCUAAUAUUUGUAACUCGAAACAGGGGCUACGAAUUAAGCGAAGAUUGGCUAUGGACGAGGUGACGAUGCGCGUGGGAAAUGGUUCCAAAGUCGAUGUGAUCGCUGUCGGCACGCUACCUCUACAUCUACCUCCGGGAUUAGUUUUAGACCUAAAUAAUUGUUAUUUGGUGCCAGCGUUGAGCAUGAACAUUAUAUCUGGAUCUUGUUUAAUGCGAGACGGUUAUUCAUUUAAAUCAGAGAAUAAUGGUUGUUCUAUUUAUAUGAAUAAUAUCUUUUAUGGUCAUGCACCCUUGAAGAGUGGUCUAUUUUUAAUGAAUCUCGAUAGUAGUGACAACAUAUUCAUAAUGUCGAAGCCAAAAGAUGCAGAGUUGAUAAUGACAGUGCAACUUAUUUGUGGCACUGCCGUUUAGGUCAUAUCGGUGUAAAGCGCAAGAAGAAACUCCAUGCUGAUGGACUUUUGGAAUCACUUGAUUAUGAAUCACUUGGUACUUGCGAACCGUGCCUCAUGGGCAAGAUGACAAAAACACCGUUCUCCGGAACUAUGGAGAGAGCAACAGAUUUGUUGGAAAUCAUACAUACAGAUGUAUGUGGUCCGAUGAAUAUUGAGGCUCGUGGCGGAUAUCGUUAUUUUCUCACCUUCACAGAUGAUUUGAGCAGAUAUGGGUAUAUCUACUUAAUGAAACAUAAGUCUGAAACAUUUGAAAAGUUCAAAGAAUUUCAGAGUGAAGUUGAAAAUCAUCGUAACAAGAAAAUAAAAUUCCUACGAUCUGAUCGUGGAGGAGAAUAUUUGAGUUACGAGUUUGUCCUACAUUUAAAACAAUGCGGAAUAGUUUCGCAACUCACGCCACCCGGAACACCACAGCGUAAUGGUGUGUCCGAACGUCGUAAUCGUACUUUAUUAGAUAUGGUGCGAUCUAUGAUGUCUCUUACUGAUUUACCGCUAUCGUUUUGGAGUUAUGCUUUAGAGACGGCUGCAUUCACUCUAAAUAGGGCACCAUCGAAAUCCGUUGAAACGACACCUUAUGAACUAUGGUUUGGCAAGAAACCAAAGUUGUCGUAUCUUAAAGUUUGGGGUUGUGAUGCUUAUGUGAAGAAACUUCAACCUGAUAAGCUCGAACCUAAAUCGGAGAAUUGUGUCUUCAUAGGAUACCCAAAGGAGACUGUUGGGUACACCUUCUAUCACAGAUCCGAAGGCAAGAUAUUCGUUGCUAAGAAUGGAUCCUUUCUAGAGAAGGAGUUUCUCUCGAAAGAAGUGAGUGGGAGGAAAGUAGAACUUGAUGAGGUAACUGUACCUGCUCCCUUAUUGGAAAGUAGAUCAUCACAGAAAUCAGUUUCUGCGACACCUACACCAAUUAGUGAGGAAGUUAAUGAUAAUGAUCAUGAAACUUCAGAUCAAGUUAUUGCUGAACCUCGUAGGUCAACUAGAUCAAGAUCCGCACCAGAGUGGUACGGUAAUCCUGUUCUGGAGGUUAUGUUACUAGACCAUGACGAACCUACGAACUAUGAAGAAGCGAUGGUGAGCCCAGAUUCCGCAAAAUGGCUUGAAGCCAUGAAAUCCGAGAUGGGAUCAAUGUAUGAGAACAAAGUAUGGACUUUGGUUGACUUGCCCGAUGGUCGGCAAGCCAUUGAAAAUAAAUGGAUCUUCAAGAAGAAGACUGACGCUGAUGGUAAUGUUACUGUCUAUAAAGCUCGACUUGUUGCGAAAGGUUUUCGACAAGUUCAAGGGAUUGACUACGAUGAGACCUUCUCACCCGUAGCGAUGCUUAAGUCUGUCCGAAUCAUGUUAGCAAUUGCCGCAUUUUAUGAUUAUGAAAUUUGGCAAAUGGAUGUCAAAACUGCAUUCCUGAAUGGAUUUUUGGAAGAAGAGUUGUAUAUGAUGUAACCGGAAGGUUUUGUCGAUCCAAAGGAAACUAACAAAGUGUGCAAGCUCCAGCGAUCCAUUUAUGGACUGGUGCAAGCCUCUCGGAGUUGGAAUAAACGCUUUGAUAGUGUGAUCAAAGCAUUUGGUUUUAUACAGACUUUUGGAGAAGCUUGUAUUUACAAGAAAGUGAGUGGGAGCUCAGUAGCAUUUCUGAUAUUAUAUGUGGAUGACAUAUUACUGAUUGGAAAUGAUAUAGAAUUUCUGGAUAGCAUAAAGGGAUACUUGAAUAAGAGUUUUUCAAUGAAAGACCUCGGUGAAGCUGCAUAUAUAUUAGGCAUUAAGAUCUAUAGAGAUAGAUCAAGAUGCUUAAUAGGACUUUCACAAAGCACAUACCUUGACAAAGUUUUGAAGAAGUUCAAAAUGGAUCAAGCAAAGAAAGGGUUCUUGCCUGUACUACAAGGUGUGAGAUUGAGUAAGACUCAAUGCCCGACCACUGCAGAAGAUAGAGAGAAGAUGAAAGAUGUUCCCUAUGCUUCAGCCAUAGGCUCUAUCAUGUAUGCAAUGUUGUUACCAGACCUGAUGUGUGCCUUGCUAUAAGUUUAGCAGGGAGGUACCAAAGUAAUCCAGGAGUGGAUCACUGGACAGCGGUCAAGAACAUCCUGAAAUACCUGAAAAGGACUAAGGAUAUGUUUCUCGUUUAUGGAGGUGACAAAGAGCUCAUCGUAAGUGGUUACGUUGAUGCAAGCUUUGACACUGAUCCGGACGAUUCUAAAUCGCAAACCGGAUACGUAUUUACAUUGAACGGUGGAGCUGUCAGUUGGUGCAGUUCUAAGCAAAGUGUCGUGGCGGGAUCUACGUGUGAAGCGGAAUACAUAGCUGCUUCGGAAGCAACAAAUGAAGGAGUCUGGAUGAAGGAGUUCAUAUCCGAUCUAGGUGUCAUACCUAGUGCAUCGGGACCAAUGAAAAUCUUUUGUGACAAUACUGGUACAAUUGCCUUAGCAAAGGAAUCCAGAUUUCACAAGAGAACCAAGCACAUCAAAAGACGCUUCAAUUCCAUCCGGGAUUUAGUCCAGGUGGGAGACAUAGAAAUUUGCAAGAUACAUACGGAUCUGAAUAUUGCAGACCCGUUGACUAAGCCUCUUCCACGAGCAAAACAUGAUCAACACCAAGACUCCAUGGGUGUAAGAAUCAUUACUAUGUAAUCUAGAUUAUUGACUCUAGUGCAAGUGGGAGACUGAAGGAAAUAUGCCCUAGAGGCAAUAAUAAAGUAUUAUUUAUUUCCUUAUAUCAUGAUAAAUGUUUAUUAUUCAUGCUAGAAUUGUAUUAACCGGAAACAUAAUACAUGUGUGAAUACAUAGACAAACUGUGUGUCACUAGUAUGCCUCUACUUGACUAGCUCGUUAAUCAAAGAUGGUUAUGUUUCCUAGCCAUAGACAUGAGUUGUCAUUUGAUUAACGGGAUCACCUCAUUAGGAGAAUGACGUGAUUGACCUGACCCAUUCCGUUAGCUUAGCACCCGAUCGUUUAGUAUGUUGCUAUUGCUUUCUUCAUGACUUAUACAUGUUCCUAUGACUAUGAGAUUAUGCAACUCCCGUUUACCGGAGGAACACUUUGUGUGCUACCAAACGUCACAACGUAAAUGGGUGAUUAUAAAGGUGCUCUACAGGUGUCUCCAAAGGUACUUGUUGGGUUGGCGUAUUUCGAGAUUAGGAUUUGUCACUCCGAUUGUCGGAGAGGUAUCUGUGGGCCCACUCGGUAAUGCACAUCACUAUAAGCCUUGCAAGCAUUGUGACUAAUGAGUUAGUUACGGGAUGAUGUAUUACGAAACGAGUAAAGAGACUUGCCAGUAACGAUAUUGAACUAGGUAUCGAGAUACCGACGAUCGAAUCUCGGGCAAGUAACAUACCGAUGACAAAGGGAACAACGUAUGUUGUUAUGCGGUUUGACCGAUAAAGAUCUUCGUAGAAUAUGUGGGAGCCAAUAUGAGCAUCCAGGUUCCGCUAUUGGUUAUUGACCGGAGAGGUGUCUCGGUCAUGUCUACAUAGUUCUCGAACCCGUAGGGUCCGCACGCUUAACGUUACGAUGACAGUUAUAUUAUGAGUUUAUAUGUUUUGAUGUACCGAAGGUUGUUCGGAGUCCCGGAUGUGAUCACAGCAUGACGAGGAGUCUCGAAAUGGUCGAGACAUAAAGAUUGAUAUAUUGGACGACUAUAUUCGGACACCGGAAGUGUUCCGGAGAAGUUUCGGAUAAAACCGGAGUGCCGGAGGGGUUACCGGAACCCCUCGGGGAAGUAUUGGGCCUUAGUGGGCCUUGAGGGGAGAGAGAGGGCAGCAGCCAGGAGGUGGCGUGCCCCCUCCCAUGAGGAGUCCUAUUAGGACUAGGAGAGGGGGGCGCAGCCCCUCUUUCCCUCUCCCCCUCCCUCUCUUUCCUUCCCCCCCUCUCUUCCUAGUUGGACUAGGAAAGGGGAGUCCUACUCCUACUAGGAGGAGGACUCCCCCCCCUCUCCUUGGCGCGCCUAGGGCAGCCGGCCUCCCCCUUGCUCCUUUAUAUACGGGGGCAGGGGGGCACCUCUAUACACACUUGAUAUACGAUAUUUUAGCCGUGUGCGGUGCCCCCCUCCACCAUAUUACACCUCGAUAAUACCGUUGCGGAGCUUAGGCAAAGCCCUGCGUCGGUGGAACAUCAUCAUCGUCACCACGCCGUCGUGCUGACGAAACUCUCCCUCAACACUCGGCUGGAUCGGAGUUCGAGGGACGUCAUCGAGCUGAACGUGUGCUGAACUCGGAGGUGCCGUACGGUCGGUACUUGAUCGGUCGGAUCAUGAAGACGUACGACUACAUCAACCGCGUUGUGAUAACGCUUCUGCUGUCGGUCUAUGAGGGUACAUGGACAACACUCUCCCCUCACCUUGCUAUGCAUCACCAUGAUCUUGCGUGUGCGUAGGAAUUUUUUUGAAAUUACUACGUUCCCCAACAGCUAGAUCUCCAUCAACCUCUCCUUCCCCCUUGCUGGAUCAAGAAGGAGGAGACGUCGGUGCUCCGUACGUGUGUUGAACGCAGAGGUGCCGUCCGUUCGGCACUCGGUCAUCGGUGAUUUGGAUCACGGCGAGUACGACUCCAUCAACCCCGUUCACUUGAACGCUUCCGCUUACGAUCUACAAGGGUAUGUAGAUGAACUCCUUUCCCCUCGUUGCUAGUAUACUCCAUAGAUGGAUCUUGGUGAUGCGUAGGAAAUUUUAAAAUUCUGCUACGAUCCCCAACACUCGUUUUGAUGAGAUGAUCAAAGCGUUUGGGUUUACACAGACUUAUGGAGAAGCCUGUGUUUACAAGAAAGUGAGUGCGAGCUCUGUAGCAUUUCUCUUAUUAUAUGUGGAUGACAUACUAUUGAUGGGAAAUGAUAUAGAAUUCUUGGAAAGUAUAAAGGCCUACUUGAAUAAGUGUUUUUCAAUGAAGGACCUUGGAGAAGCUGCUUAUCUAUUAGGCAUCAAGAUCUAUAGAGAUAGAUCAAGACGCCCCAUUGGUCUUUCACAGAGUACGUACCUUGACAAGAUAUUGAAGAAGUUCAAUAUGGAUCAGUCCAAGAAGGGGUUCUUGCCUGUAUUGCAAGGUGUGCAAUUGAGCACGGCUCAAUGCCCGACCACGGCAGAAGAUAGAGAAAAGAUGAGUGUCAUCCCCUAUGCCUCGGCCAUAGGGUCUAUUAUGUAUGCCAUGCUGUGUACCAGACCUGAUGUAAACCUUGCCGUAAGUUUGGUAGGAAGGUACCAAAGUAAUCCCGGCAUGGAACACUGGACAGCGGUCAAGAAUAUCCUGAAGUACCUGAAGAGGACUAAGGAUAUGUUUCUCGUUUAUGGAGGUGACGAAGAGCUCGUCGUAAAGGGUUACGUCGACGCUAGCUUCGACACAGAUCUGGAUGACUCGAAGUCACAAAACGGAUACGUGUAUAUUUUGAAUGGAGGAGCAGUAAGCUGGUGCAGUUGCAAGCAAAGCGUCGUGGCGGGAUCUACAUGUGAAGCGGAGUACAUGGCAGCCUCGGAGGCAGCACAGGAAGCAGUCUGGAUGAAGGAGUUCAUUACCGACCUAGGGGUGAUUCCCAAUGCGUCGGGCCCGAUGACUCUCUUCUGUGACAACACUGGAGCUAUUGCCCUUGCCAAGGAGCCCAGGUUUCACAGGAAGACCAGGCAUAUCAAGCGUCGCUUCAACUCCAUUCGUGAAAGUGUUCAAAAUGGAGACAUAGAUAUUUGUAAAGUACAUACGGACCUGAAUGUAGCAGAUCCGUUGACUAAACCUCUCCCUAGAGCAAAACAUGAUCAACACCAGAACGCUAUGGGUGUUCGAUUCAUCACAAUGUAACUAGAUUAUUGACUCUAGUGCAAGUGGGAGACUGUUGGAAAUAUGCCCUAGAGGCAAUAAUAAAAUGGUUAUUAUUAUAUUUCUUUGUUCAUGAUAAUUGUCUAUUAUUCAUGCUAUAAUUGUGUUAUCCGGAAAUCGUAAUACAUGUGUGAAUACAUAGACCACAACGUGUCCCUAGUAAGCCUCUAGUUGACUAGCUCGUUGAUCAACAGAUAGUCAUGGUUUCCUGACUAUGGACAUUGGAUGUCAUUGAUAACGGGAUCACAUCAUUAGGAGAAUGAUGUGAUGGAGACCCAAUCCUAAGCAUAGCUCAAAGAUCGUGUAGUUCGUUUGCUAGAGCUUUUCCAAUGUCAAGUAUCUUUUCCUUAGACCAUGAGAUCGUGCAACUCCCGGAUGCCAUAGGAGUGCUUUGGGUGUGCCAAAUGUCACAACGUAACUGGGUGACUAUAAAGGUGCAUUACGGGUAUCUCCGAAAGUGUCUGUUUGGUUGGCACGGAUCGAGACUGGGAUUUGUCACUCCGUAUGACGGAGAGGUAUUUCCGGGCCCACUCGGUAAUGCAUCAUCAUAAUGAGCUCAAUGUGACUAAGGAGUUAGCCACGUGAUCAUGCAUUACGGUACGAGUAAAGAGACUUGCCGGUAACGAGAUUGAACAAGGUAUUGGGAUACCGACGAUCGAAUCUCGGGCAAGUAACAUACCGAUUGACAAAGGGAAUUGUAUACGGGAUUGAUUGAAUCCUCGACAUCGUGGUUCAUCCGAUGAGAUCAUCGUGGAACAUGUGGGAGCCAACAUGGGUAUCCAGAUCCCGCUGUUGGCUAUUGACCGGAGAGGCGUCUCGGUCAUGUCUGCAUGUAUCCCGAACCCGUAGGGUCUACACACUUAAGGUUCGGUGACGCUAGGGUUGUAGAGAUAUUAGUAUGCGGAAACCCGAAAGUUGUUCAGAGUCCCGGAUGAGAUCCCGAACGUCACGAGGAGUUCCGGAAUGGUCCGGAGGUGAAGAAUUAUAUAUAGGAAGUCAAGUUUCGGCCACCGGGAAAGUUUCGGGGGUCACUGGUAUUGUACCGGGACCACCGGAAGGGUCCCGGGGGUCGACCGGGUGGGGCCACCUAUCCCGGAGGGCCCCAUGGGCUGAAGUGGGAAGGGAACCAGCCCCUAGUGGGCUGGGGCGCCCCCCAUGGGCCUCCCCCUGCGCCUAGGGUUGGAAACCCUGGGGGUGGGGGGCGCCCCACCUGACUUGGGGGGCAAGUUUCCCCCCUGGCCGCCGCCCCCCUUGUAGAUGGGUUCCAGGGCCGGCGCCCCCCCUCCAAGGGGCCUAUAUAUAGUUGGGGGAGGGAGGGCAGCAGCACCACAGCCCCUGGCGCCUCCCUCUCCCCCUGCAACACCUCUCCUUCCCGCUUGCGCUUGGCGAAGCCCUGCCGGGAUCCCGCUACUUCCACCACCACGCCGUCGUGCUGCUGGAUCUCCAUCAACCUCUCCUUCCCCCUUGCUGGAUCAAGAAGGAGGAGACGUCGCUGCUCCGUACGUGUGUUGAACGCGGAGGUGCCGUCCGUUCGGCACUCGGUCAUCGGUGAUUUGGAUCACGGCGAGUACGACUCCAUCAACCCCGUUCACUUGAACGCUUCCGCUUGCGAUCUACAAGGGUAUGUAGAUGAACUCCUUUCCCCUCGUUGCUAGUAUACUCCAUAGAUGGAUCUUGGUGAUGCGUAGGAAAUUUUAAAAUUCUGCUACGAUCCCCAACAGUACUGGGUGCGGCCAUCCUGACUUUGGGUCUCCUCGGGGUCGUAGGCACGUCCAUGCCCAGCCUCGAAGAUCACGUUCUCCAUGUACUGGUUGUAGAAGGGGUCGUCGACCGGUGUCGUUGNNNNNNNNNNNNNNNNNNNNNNNNNNNNNNNNNNNNNNNNNNNNNNNNNNNNNNNNNNNNNNNNNNNNNNNNNNNNNNNNNNNNNNNNNNNNNNNNNNNNNNNNNNNNNNNNNNNNNNNNNNNNNNNNNNNNNNNNNNNNNNNNNNNNNNNNNNNNNNNNNNNNNNNNNNNNNNNNNNNNNNNNNNNNNGUGAAUGGUGCCCGUGCUUGCUUGCUCUGCAUCUCCACGGACGGUCGGCCGCCGCUGCUGGACCCAGGCGUAACAUUAAGGUCAAUGACGGCCGCGGGGCGUGGUGUCGACGGCGCGAACAAGCCAACGUCCGGCGACCCCGAGAAACGGGUCUGGCCGUCGUGCCUUGGCGGAGGAAAGCCGGGCGACAUGGGCGUGGUCCGCGACGUCGGCGACUGGCAGUGCGCAGGCCGGGCGACCGACGAGCCUGUGCUCGCCGGGCUGACGGCCGCUGUAGUGAAACCGGCCGGACGGCCCAUGCCAAGCAUGAGGAGGGCGUGCGCUUUGUUGACGAUGUCCUCCUUCUCGUCGGCCGCGGCCUUGCGCCAAGCGACCUCCUUCGCAUCGCGCUCGGCGGCGAACUUGGCCGCGGCGGCAUUGACCUUGACGACCGCUCUCCGGCUCCUCUUCUUCGCCGCUUCCGCGUCCAACCUGGCGAUCUCCUCCGGCGUGCACUCUGACCGCGGCUUCCUUGCCGCCUUGGCCGCCUUCUUCUUCACCUUUCCGGGCGGGUCGACGGCCAGGCCGCCGGAAUUCGGCUGGGCGUCGGCCAUGAACGGGGGAGAGAGGGGGCGGCGGGACGGACGUGGGAGGGUUUGGGGGAAAUGGCGCCAAAUGGGGCGUGGGGGGUUUUGGUUUCUCCCACCGACAGGCGGGCCAGGGGAGGACAAGCGUGUGCGUCCCGCCCGUCUGUGCGCUGUCCGUUUCACCCCAAAACCGGCGCAAACUUGGGCGGGGGAUGUGUCGAAAACGGACACGAAACGGACAAAAGUCCGUUUGCUCCCGCGCCCUGGGCCGCCCGAUUUGUCCCUUUUACCCCAAAUGGACGGGGACGGACAGGAUAGGGUCGCACGGUGGAGUUGGCCUAAGGGCUCGCUACCGCACGAUACAUGCCGAGCCCCACGGCAGCCAACGUCGCCACCGUCUCUCUCAGAUCUUCUCCAAUUCCUGAACCCUGCAAUGCCCAUCCGCCAUCGCGCUCGCCCUCCCGAGUCGUCGCCUUCGCUUGACAUCUCGCGGAGGUCUCGGAGGUCGCGUCGGCGCCGGGGGCGGAGGAGCAAGAUGACGGAGGAUUCUGCGGCGGAGGCGGCGGCGGAGGCGGAGGAGGAGGAUUCUGCAGCGGCGGCGACGACAGCGGCGGUGGAGGAGGAUUCUGCAGCGGCGGCGGCGGCGUUCACACCCUAGGAAAUACUCCCUCUGUUUCAAAUUACUCGUCGUGGUUUUAGUUUUUGAACUAAAACCACGACGAGUAAUUUAGAACAGAGGGAGUAGAUCGAGAGAGGAGUCGAGGGGGCCUCGUUUGUCUGAUUUCGUGAUUUCGUUUCGUAGGAUGGGGCUCAGUUUCUGUUUUUUUUUUGCUACGUGCGAGAGGAAACGGUGUGGUGGGAAGGGAGACAAAAAAACCAGCGAAAUAAAACGGACGAAAGUGAUGGGACGAAAAUAAAUCAUGGAUGGUAUUCAUCAACUCAGACAUUAGAAAUAGGAAUUGACAAGUGAAAUACACACUUGUACUAUUGCAGGUAAAGGGUCUCGCUCAAUCACAUCCCAUCUAAAAUCACAUAAACAUUCUUUGGUUUCUUUGGUUUCUUUUCUCGGUUUUCACAGGGUAUUUUCUUUUUCUGUCUUUUUCCUUUUGAUUUUCUUCAUUUUGGCUUCUUUUUUGGUUUCACUGUUUCCAUUCUUUUGCAUUGGUUUUCAUCGUAUUUAUUUUUAUUUUGUUCAUUUUAUUUGUUUAGUUUUGGCUUUCGUUGGUUUUGUUUGUUUCUUUGUCGGUUUUCAUCACUUAUUUCUUUUGACAUAUGUCUACUUUUUUCAGUGUACAUGGGAAACAUAAUUUUUGAGAAACCUUGAACAUUUUUUAAAUGGAUGACGUGCAUUUUUUCUGAAAUACGAGUUUUGAACACUUUUUUUAAUACAUGGUCAAUAUUUUUCAAAUAUACGGCGAACAUUUUUUAAUUGCAAUAACCAUUUUGCAGAGAUAAUAUACAUUUUUCGUAUAUACAUCUGAAUCAUUUUUCUAUACAUGUUUAAUAUUUUGUAAAUACAAAAUUAAUUUUUUAAAUAUAUGUUUUUAUGUCUACUUUUUAUUUAAUGUACUGUAUGUUAUACAUUUUUCAUAUACGUUAGGAACAUUCAGCGAGCCGGGCAUACAUCUUACUGUAAGCGAGAUAUAGCCCUCGCGCAAAAGAACCGGUUAGGCUAUAGCGUGUUUACUUUUCGCGGCCCAGGCCCAAAUUGAAAUCACGCGCGGUCCAGUGCCUCCUAACCCUACCCCCAUCCUGAAAUUUUGCUCAGGAAAAAAAAUCAUCCCGAAAUCCACCACACAGGACAAUGGCAAUGGCGGCUGGCGGCGGCGGCUACGCAGGGACAGCGAUGGCGGCCUGACGUGCCCCCCUUCUCCCGGCGACCCUCCUUCUCCGGCGACACCCUUCUCCCCGAAACGCCCUUCUCCGGCGGCCUCCCUCCCGGACAACUUCGACAAGGAAGGCAAGGAUCGCACAGCUCACGGCCAAGGGCGGCGUCUUCGUCCUCCGGCAGACACCCGAAGCACUGAGCUACCGGCCGCCACUCCCGGCUCGGCAUCUCCAUGCCCACCAUGAGCCAGCAGACUCAAUCGCCAGGCAAGCUCUCUGUCGGGAUCUCACUUUGUUUGUUCCUUUCAUCGCUGUCUGUAAUAAUCACAGACCCGGUUGAAAGUAUUUUUGGGCACGGGGCAAUGUAAAAUAAUUGUUUUUCAUACUAAACUUUUAUACUUAUUUUAAAUUAUGUGUACCACAUUAUAGUUGUGAUUAAUAUGUUUUUUCUAUUACUUAGCCACAUAAGAAUGUAUUUAAAUAAUAGUUAUAUUAUUCAUUGGUAUUCAGUUGUAAUGUGUUAUACCAUGAAAAUUUUAUCAUGUACCAAAAGUUUUUCUUUAUUGUUAAAAUAAUUUUCUGAUUUAUUUUCUAAUAUUGCAUAAACAAUGUAGUGUAUACAUAUUUGCAUAUCUAUGCGUGUGUUCAUAUAUAUUUUAAUAUUAUUGAAUAUUAUGGUAGAGAUUUCUAAAUUAUAUACACGCUAACAAAUAUUUUAAUAGUGGUUUCUAGUUAUAUUAGACAGUCAUAUUCCUGGAAACUUCUAGGACAUAGGAAUUGUGACCUGCAAGUUGGGUUCGAUAAUAGAAUCAUCGAAGAACUAAAAAUGGUGUUGAUUAUACUUCUACAUAUGACUCGAUUAACUAACAUGUUCGUCCAGACUCACAAGGUUUGAUUUGAUGCAAAUGACAUAUCCUACAUGUUUAUCGAAUUAAAAAUUGUGCAUUGGUUUAAACAUUGAGAUCUAGUUAUCAUAAUUUUUAUUAUGAUAUUAAGACAUCCAUCAUAAAGAGAGACUAGUGCAUUUGAAUUCAACUCCGCCAGUCAGAUUGGUUUGCAUAUGCGUGGUACAACUUAUUAGUAUGUGGUGUGAACUUAAGUUUUUGCGUAUAGUGCUUACUAGUAUAAGUUUUAGUUGGGGCCCUCCCCUGUUGGGGCCCGGGGCGGUCGCCCCUUUUGCCCGGCUUAUGGGCCGGCCCUGACUAAUCAUAAAACUGAUGUGUUGCAGAAGGAUGGAACGCUGCUUCAUCGUUAUCUGAAAGAGACAGCCCACCCUGCCGAUAGGAUGUUAAUUCCCAUGGCAGCAAAGAAGCAAGAUAUCUGGAUCCAGUCCUUCCAGAGGUAUCUUCUGAUAUUGCCGCGAGGCUUCUAUCAGUAGAAUAGCUGCAAGCUUUGCUCUGUUUUGUUGUAGUUAACUUCAGCAGGAAAACUGCUACAUUGACGUGAACUCCGAAUUCAACAUUGUUCAGGGAGCUGUGUUAUUUGUUUUAUUAUAUUGAUGACGUGAACUCCGAAUUUAACAUUGUUUUUCCUUGUGCUUAUGCCUACAAGAACAUUUUGCAACUUGUUCCUAACCUUGGCUGAAUCUUGCUGAUUAUGGCAUCCUUUCCCAUCUUUUACCUCUAAUUCUCAUGGUGCUUCUCUGCUCUUGCACGCAGGACAUAUGUUGUCGUAUAUAUUCCUUCCUACAGAUGCAAGAUGCUGCCCGUGCUGCCUGCGUUUCUCGCUCCUUCCUAGGCUACUGGAGAUGCCAUCCCAAUCUCACCUUCACCAAGAAACGAUGUGCCCCAAAGAAAAUUUGAAGACAGCGGGAUCAAAUGCUAUUAUAAGAGACUACAGCAACAAAAUUGACUGUGUUCCGACGAACCGCUCGGGCGCUGCCACCGUGACGAAACUCAGGCUUGACUACCAUGUUCCUCCUGAUGGUGCUGAAUUGUAUCAUCGUCUCGAUAGCUGGCUUCAGAUGGCUGUUACGCUGAGGACCAAAGAACUCGAGCUUCAAGUAUGGUCGAAAGAGGCGAGGUUUGAUUUCCCAUGCACACUACUAUCUGACAGGUGUGGGGACUCGAUCCAGAAGCUUUUCCUUUUCAGAUGCGCCUUGCGUCCCACAUUUCAACUUGGUUUGAGAAGCCUGAAAACACUGCAUCUGCGCGAUGUGCGUGUUACGGGGGAGGAGUUAGGGUGCCUUCUGUCCAGUUCCACUGCUUUGGAACACCUGGAGCUUGUAUAUUGCGAUGAUAUUGUUUGCCUCGAGAUACCUUGCCUGCUGCUGCGGCUCAGCUUUCUGGAGGUGGCUGGAUGCAUGAAUAUUAAGUGAUAGAGAACAAAGCUCCAAAUCUGUCCAGAUUUUACCUUGAAGCAGGUGAACUGGUGCAAGUCUCGUUUGGAGAGUCGAAAGUGAAGAAAGUGCAGUUAAUGUAGAGUCGUGCCAUCAGUUAUGCUACUGACAACCUUCCUUCACGUGUGACAAAUCUCGAGACUCUUACCAUAUAUUCUACUCCCUCCGUCCGGAAAUACUUGUCGACAAAUGGAUGUAUCUAGAUGUAUUUUAGUUGUAGUUACAUUCAUUUUUAUCCAUUUCUCCGACAAGUAAUUUGGGACGGAGGGAGUACUUGUGAGGUAUGGUCUUACUCUUAAGUUGGCAAACAUCCAUAUAAAGGUAUCCAAGUGUUGGAAUAAUUGUCCUGAGACAUCUUUAUGCAGAUAGUCAAUUCUCCAAUGGCAUCCGGCAAAUUCCUCCACCUCAAGUUCUCAAGUAUUCUUCUUAUGAGUGGAUCUAAUUUUGCCAAGGACUACGAUUAUUUAUCGUUGGUUCUUGUUUUCCAAGCAUCUCCUUCCCUGGAAACGUUUCGCUUGUUUGUAAGUUCGCCGUUCACCCUUUCCUCAAAAAAGGGAAAAAAAGCCACUGCAUCCUGCAAUGAUUAUCUGCUAACCAUGUUUGGAUCAUCAAUUAAAUACCUUGGCUUUUGAUCUUCAGGUAUGGGAGCACUCCAUGUAUCACUGGUUUAAGGGAGAUCCUGCCUCUCUGAGGCGACUGCCACAACACUGCCAUGGGAACCUCAAGAGUGUGAAGAUCAUUGGUUUCUUCCCGCAAAAGAGCAUGAUUGAGCUGGCAUGUCGUCUUCUCGAGAAUGCAACGUCACUUGAGUCCCUUACAGUGGAUGCUAGUCCUGCUGAUUACUGUUGUUCUGGCAGUAAACCGGGCAGGAAAUGUUGUCCCCGGAAAGCUACAGCUAUAGUGAAGGCACGUAAACCAGUCUUGGCUGUGAAAAAAUACAUUGAGGGGAAUGUUCCCUCUACAGUCAAGUUAAAUGUUCCAGAGCCUUGCCGACGAUGCCAUCGCUUUGAGUAAUUCAGGUGUCAAAUUAUUGUAGCUACCUGAUUACUAUUUAAUGGUGAUAUGUUUUAGUUGUCUUGUGCUAUGUUACAUUCAAGUCACCAGAUCUGUUUAGGAGUCUGUGAUAUUACCUUCCUGAUAACUUUGUUUACCAAACUGUCCAAUGUACUUAAUAUUACUAUUGUCCAUUAAAUAUUGUUGUGAACUUGUAUUGUAUAAA